This 877-nucleotide ribosomal RNA is filed under the name Linnemannia hyalina. RNAcentral describes it as "LSU rRNA". It matches the Rfam family "Eukaryotic large subunit ribosomal RNA", at positions 38 to 774 of the family's 3401-position model. Lineage: Eukaryota; Fungi; Mortierellomycota; Mortierellomycetes; Mortierellales; Mortierellaceae. The record is from RNAcentral.
GCAUAUCAUAGGCGAGAAAAGAAACUACAAGGGAUUCCCCUUAGUAACGGCGAAGUGAAGCGGGAUGAGCUCAAAUUUAAAAUCUGGCUGGGUUUACUAGUCCGAAUUGUAGUUUAUAGAAGCGUUUUCGGUGGCAGCCUGGGUAUAAAUCCUUUGGAAUAGGGUAUCAUAGAGGGUGAGAAUCCCGUCUUUGACUCAGUGCAUGCUACUAUGUGAUACGUUUUCAAAGAGUCGAGUUGUUUGGGAAUGCAGCUCAAAAUGGGUGGUAAAUUUCAUCUAAAGCUAAAUAUUGGCGAGAGACCGAUAGCGAACAAGUACCGUGAGGGAAAGAUGAAAAGAACUUUGAAAAGAGAGUUAAACAGUGCGUGAAAUUGUUGAAAGGGAAACGCUUGACACCAGUCAUGCGAGUGGAAAAUCAGUCUUUUGCAAUGGGGAGUUGUGGGCGUUCAGACCGCAAGGCUGGCGUUUGCUUCAUCUUUGUUGUAAGUGAUGCACUUUUUCAUUUGCAGGUCAACAUCAGUUUGCUUUGCUGGACAAAACCCCAAGGGAAGGUGGCAGCUUAGGCUGUGUUAUAGCCCUGGGGCGAUACAGUGGAGUGGACUGAGGUUUUCGCAGUGUGUGCUCUCUGGGCAAGGCUGACUGGGUGCUAUGGGAUCGUUCGGCGUACAAUGCAUGCAUUUUGCGUCGUGUCUUUUUCAUACUCGCUCAACUCGGCUCUUCCACACUUAGGAUGUUGACUUAAUGGUUUUAAUCGACCCGUCUUGAAACACGGACCAAGGAGUCUAACAUAUAUGCAAGUGUUUGGGUGGCAAACCCAUGCGCGUAAUGAAAGUGAACGUAGGUGCCAUCCGCAAGGUGCAGCAUCGACCGAUCUUGA